AUGACCCUCUGGACGCUGGAGGGCGCGGUGGAGGCCAUUGGGGACAAGGUGAUCGUCGACCGGCUGGACAGCCGCACGCACGAGCGCGCCGACACCAAGCUUUUUGCGUGCUGGAUCUGGUGCUGGGACACCGCCCACAUCCCAACCAGGCGUACCAUCUGGAAGCAUGCUAGGAGGGCGGGCCGCGUCGACAAGAUGUUGGGCUACUCCCCUCCGAGCCGUGCGGUGGCGCCCCCUCCCGAGCUGCUGCAGUACGACCUCCUGCUGCAGCUCGACCGCGUCGAAGACUGGACGCCGCUCUCGCCGCGGUCGUCCCGUACGCCCCAGAGCGGCAUCCCCUCGGACGACGACGAGCCUGAUGAGCGCCCAUACCCCGCGUCGAGCCGGGUGUCUGGACGCCUCGGGUGGAAGAUGGCAGACGCGGCCCUGAGCCCGCGCUGUCCAUGCGUUCGCAACCCGUGUGGCGGCUACGGGCUGCCGGGGCAUGCCUUCAGGCGAGGCCAGGCGUGGCCGCAAUGA
This 519-nucleotide ribosomal RNA is filed under the name Triticum aestivum (bread wheat). RNAcentral describes it as "partial small subunit ribosomal RNA". Lineage: Eukaryota; Viridiplantae; Streptophyta; Magnoliopsida; Poales; Poaceae. The record is from RNAcentral.